This 77-nucleotide microRNA precursor is filed under the name Drosophila persimilis. RNAcentral describes it as "microRNA dpe-mir-79 precursor". Its record names the gene dpe-mir-79. The stretch from base 8 to 70 matches the Rfam family "mir-9/mir-79 microRNA precursor family", at positions 1 to 62 of the family's 78-position model. From Rfam's summary of the family: The mature ~21nt miRNAs are processed from hairpin precursor sequences represented here. miR-9 is processed from the 5' arm of its precursor, and miR-79 from the 3' arm. The bounds of the precursors are predicted based on conservation and base pairing and are not generally known. The record is from miRBase by way of RNAcentral. Lineage: Eukaryota; Metazoa; Arthropoda; Insecta; Diptera; Drosophilidae.
CUGCUUCUGCUUUGGCGCUUUAGCUGUAUGAUAGAUUUAAAAUACUUCAUAAAGCUAGAUUACCAAAGCAUUGGCUC